GGUGCAAGAAAAGGGAAGUGAAAAUGUUUGGGGCUGAGCUCUCGCUUACCUCACACAUGGAAGGAGGCACCCAGAGCUACCACGGGACGGGCAGAGGCCAAGCCCCAUCCCUGCUCCCUCCCCAUGGACAGCAGGAAGGAGGAAAAAGAAGAACCUUAGAGGGAAACCCUCGAUUAGCUCGGAGGGAGUUCCCCCCGCGGCUCCAGGACCAUGUCCUGAGUUGGUUUUCACAGCACGGCGAUGCUGAUCCCGGUUCCAUAGAUACCGAUGCCAUGACAACCCUGACAUCAUCCGUGCUCCGGAGCGGAGCUGCAGGGAAAGGCGCAGGGAGGAGGAGCACGCUGGCCCUGCUGGCACUGGGCUGUGGGGCUGGGGGCUUCCCCUGGCCCCAGCACAGCCCCACUGCAGCCCCAUUCCCCUUGCAGGGACCGUGCCACUGCCACAGCCCUGUGGGGCAGGUGUCACACCCCUGACACACACAGUGCAGUCACAGAGAGCAGGAUUCCCGUGGAUCCUGUUUCCAGCUCCUUUUGGCCCUUUUCAGCUUUGUCAGUCUGUUCUUUCUGGAGGGUUGGGAUCAGGAUUUAACUGUUGAAGCUCAUAAUGAUGCCACGCAGUUUUUCUCAAUUACAGCUGGAACAGGAAUAUUUUGGACAAUGCAGAGCACAAGGACACUGCCUGAAUCUUUGAGAUGUUGCCCUAGAACCAAUCAUGACCAUUUCUAGACAGAAGUGGAAUUGUGGCUGCAGAAGAUGAAGUAACUUACCUGGUGUCUAGCAAGAAGCUUAUGACUAAAAAAGAACUGAAUUUUGAUCUCUGGAGCCUCCAGCCCCGUGCUCUGGCCACGAGGACAUUGGCUUUUGUGCCUUGUAUAUCUUUUACCCCAUCUAAGCAGCAGAACAUGAAGCACAGUCUCAGAAUC
Molecule: non-coding RNA, 922 nt
Organism: Cyanistes caeruleus (blue tit)
Lineage: Eukaryota; Metazoa; Chordata; Aves; Passeriformes; Paridae
Source: RefSeq, a predicted model, not a curated record